This 465-nucleotide ribosomal RNA is filed under the name uncultured bacterium. RNAcentral describes it as "partial 16S ribosomal RNA". It matches the Rfam family "Bacterial small subunit ribosomal RNA", at positions 28 to 507 of the family's 1533-position model. The record is from RNAcentral.
GACGAACGCUGGCGGCGUGCUUAACACAUGCAAGUCGAACGGAAAGGCCCCUUUGGGGGUACUCGAGUGGCGAACGGGCGAGUAACACGUGAGUAACCUGCCCUUGACUUCGGGAUAACUUCCGGAAACUGGGGCUAAUACCGGCUAGGAAUCCUUGCUGCAUGGUGGGGGUUGGAAAGCUUCGGCGGUUUUGGAUGGACUCGCGGCCUAUCUGCUUGUUGGUGGGGUAGUGGCUUACCAAGGGUUUGACGGGUAGCCGGCCUGAGAGGGCGACCGGCCACAUUGGGACUGAGAUACGGCCCAGACUCCUACGGGGGGCAGCAGUGGGGAAUAUUGCACAAUGGGCGGAAGCCUGAUGCAGCAACGCCGCGUGCGGGAUGACGGCCUUCGGGUUGUAAACCGCUUUCAGCAGGGGCGAAGCUUGUGGUGACGGUACCUGCAGAAGAAGCACCGGCUAACUACGUG